GAUGAAGAACGUAGCGAAAUGCGAUAAGUAAUGCGAAUUGCAGAAUUCAGUGAAUCAUCGAAUCUUUGAACGCACAUUGCGCCCGCCAGUACUCUGGCGGGCAUGCCUGUCUGAGCGUCAUUUCAACCCUCGCCCCCGGCUUCUGUCGGGGACGGUGUUGGGGAUCGGCCUCCCGUCUUCCGGGUGGCCGGCCCCUAAAUUGAGUGGCGACCACGCCGUAACCUCCUCUGCGUAGUAGUUAAACACUCGCGGGCGGAGAGCGGUGCGGCCUGCCGUAAAACCCCCAACUCUUCUAAGGUUGACCUCAGAUCAGGUAGGAAUACCCGCUGAACUUAAGCAUAUCAAUAAGCGAGGA
This 355-nucleotide unclassified non-coding RNA is filed under the name soil metagenome. RNAcentral's name for it is "partial contains 5.8S ribosomal RNA, internal transcribed spacer 2, and large subunit ribosomal RNA". The stretch from base 1 to 120 matches the Rfam family "5.8S ribosomal RNA", at positions 35 to 154 of the family's 154-position model. The record is from RNAcentral.